UAAGAUCCCCAUUUCUCAAGCAUUGUUGUUACCUUGUGUUCCUCUGCCACUAUAUAGUCAACACUCAACUCAAGCGGUAUUGCUCAGUUCAGUCGAAUUCAAUGGAAUGUCAUGAAGCUUGUUCUCUCCCAACGCCAUUGAGGUACUGUGUACAGAAGAUUGGAGUUUCUUAAGUUAACUGCACACAUGUUUUCAAGUUCAUAUCAAGUGGUUCCAAGCCCCAACAACCAGCAAUGACAUUCCUCCUCCGCCUGAGAAGAAUUCACCCCUUGACAAACCGUUUUCCGUUCAAGCACCGCCUCUUAUCCACCUCUAUCUCGGCAGCAGUGAUCCCAACUCCAGCCAUCACUUCCCUUUCUUUCUCAGAGAUAGAGAUGGAACAUGCUGAGUUUUUCGCCGCGCAGGUCAAAAAGGAACUAGCUUUCACCUCAGAGCGCAUGAGCACUUCUCUGAGAUGCGCCGUGAUCUGACCGGGCUGCCCUAGGAUCUACCCCAAACUGGUGAAGUGGCAGCAGUCAUCGGUUUUCCAGGCAUGGUUUUUACAACUGGCCAUAUCAAUUGUUGAAGAAUUAAUGGGUAUUCUUUUAGUAUGGAAUCUUUUACUCAAACUAUACUCAUCCUCAUCCCUAUUUUUAGGCAGAUAAAAAAAUUAAGAAAGGUCUACAGAAAAGACCUGGAUUAUUGGAAUGGAAGACUUGCGACUGAAGAAACCUUAUAAUAGAAAAUGAAUUGAGCAACUUAGUGCCUGGAUGCUGAAGGAUGCAUGCAUGUAUAAAGCCAAUCAAAUGUAACCUUUUAAUAUUAUUUUUUUGUUCUUUUAUGAGCUUCAAUCUUAAGGUACUCACUAAAGUUAUGACUUAUGAUUAUGAUUAUAUCAAAUUAUUAAAGUUAGUUUGUGGCUUAAGAUUCACUU
Lotus japonicus is the source of this 913-nucleotide long non-coding RNA. RefSeq lists it as uncharacterized. Lineage: Eukaryota; Viridiplantae; Streptophyta; Magnoliopsida; Fabales; Fabaceae. The record is from RefSeq and is a predicted model, not a curated record. The transcript is spliced from 4 exons.